GCCUCAUAAUUGUAUAUUCUCUAACAUUCUUCCAAUGUAUGCUCCACAGUAGUGUGAUUCUUGAUACUCUUUCAUUUCAAUUUUCUUUCUUAUAAGAACCUCUUCAUAUGACCCCUUUUUCUGAUUCCUUUCCCUUUUCCUUUCUUAAUCAAUUCGUAAUCUGUAUAUAAGAUAGUACUAGGGCCGUUAAUUGGUAGUGCGCGGACGCUAAAAUAUCUAAUAGUAAUAUCAUGUGCAGCGAGUGAGAGACAGCUGAGGCAACUGCAUCCGCUCAACAGAAUCUUCUAUUCUUGGCUCAGCUAGCUACAUUAUUAUUAUAUCAGAGCCACCUCAAGCAUGUUUAGAAUUGCGAUUGUGGGC
RNAcentral lists this small RNA (360 nucleotides) under Histoplasma capsulatum var. duboisii H88. Its description in RNAcentral is "Histoplasma capsulatum H88 hypothetical RNA". The record is from RNAcentral. Lineage: Eukaryota; Fungi; Ascomycota; Eurotiomycetes; Onygenales; Ajellomycetaceae.